RNAcentral lists this ribosomal RNA (620 nucleotides) under uncultured Lysobacterales bacterium. RNAcentral describes it as "bacterial SSU rRNA". It matches the Rfam family "Bacterial small subunit ribosomal RNA", at positions 100 to 702 of the family's 1533-position model. Lineage: Bacteria; Pseudomonadati; Pseudomonadota; Gammaproteobacteria; Lysobacterales. The record is from RNAcentral.
GGACGGGUGAGGAAUGCAUCGGAAUCUGCCUGUUUGUGGGGGAUAACGCAUGGAAACGUGCGCUAAUACCGCAUACGUCCUUUUGUCGGGAGAUGAUUGGAGAAAGUGGGGGACCUUCGGGCCUCACGCGAACAGAUGAGCCGAUGUCGGAUUAGCUGGUUGGUGGGGUAAAGGCCUACCAAGGCGACGAUCCGUAGCUGGUCUGAGAGGAUGAUCAGCCACACUGGAACUGAGACACGGUCCAGACUCCUACGGGAGGCAGCAGUGGGGAAUAUUGGACAAUGGGGGCAACCCUGAUCCAGCCAUGCCGCGUGUGUGAAGAAGGCCCUUGGGUUGUAAAGCACUUUUGUUGGGGAAGAAAAGUUUUCGGUGAAUAUCUGGAGACGCUGACGGUACCCAAAGAAUAAGCACCGGCUAUCUUCGUGCCAGCAGCCGCGGUAAUACGAAGGGUGCAAGCGUUACUCGGAUUUACUGGGCGUAAAGGGUGCGCAGGCGGCCUGCCAAGUCUGAUGUGAAAGCCCUGGGCUCAACCUGGGAACGGCAUUGGAAACUGGUGGGCUGGAGUACGGUAGAGGGUGGUGGAAUUCCUGGUGUAGCAGUGAAAUGCGUAGAGAUCAGGA